Non-coding RNA from Lactuca sativa (garden lettuce), 1649 nucleotides. Lineage: Eukaryota; Viridiplantae; Streptophyta; Magnoliopsida; Asterales; Asteraceae. The record is from RefSeq and is a predicted model, not a curated record.
AUAUCUACAACCGUUUUCUCUUUCUCCAAAAACCAAAUAUUGGCUGCCUACCACAACCACCGAUCCGGCGACAACCACAACCACCGAUCAACUUAUGUGCGCCAUCUCUCAUCAACAUCAUCUUAUCUAUCCAACCCUAAUCGCCAUCUACCCUUGGGUGGGCUGAUGAAUGAAGGCGGCGAGGGGAAAAAUACGAAGGCUUCGCAGGCUACAUUCGCCAAUUAGAUGGCAAGUAGAGGUCGUCGUCUCCGGGGUCGGCGAGGUAGAAGCAACAAAGGUUCCCUCUUUAUGUAUGGUGGUGAGGAGCGAGUUCUAGGUGUCACCAGCAGUGAAAACUUCAAACCGGUUGAGGUUUCCGGAGGUUUUGUUCGAUGAACGGGGAAGAGGAAGGUAUGAGGUUUUCAACCAAUGAGAAGGAGGCACGAAGGCGGCUGAAUGGUUUGAAGGGUUUCGAUCGUUUGCAAUUCUGAGGUUACAUCUCCGGGAUUUGACGGCCUUGAGGUGCGAAAGAGGGAAGGGUCCGAUGGGGCAAAUCAAUCGACGAGGUCCUGACCUUCGGGGGUCAAUGGCGAUGUGAACAGAAGAGAGAGAAACGAGUUGUUAAAGAUGGGGUGUUCGGCUCCGGUUAGCUUCUUACUUCAUAUUUUCUUUAUCUUUGAGAUUGGUAGCAAGGGAAGUGUUUUAUGGGUCUUACUCCACACGAAAACAACCUCUCUACUGGUGUCAUUUUACUCUCUGAUGAGAGCAAGAAAACCAAAGGAAAUAGGGGUGUUUGGGGUCUGUUUAUCUCACCAAAAGAAAGGGAAAAGAGCUUGAACAAAAAGGGGCACCAACAUUUUCUUUUGUUUUGGGACCUCGGUUCAUGCUUCAAUGAAAAGGAUUUGAGAUAACGAUCAAAGGUAUGAAGGUGAUAGGUGAACGAGUGGACAGUGAAGUGAAUAUGAAUCCACAUUUUUUUUGUGUUGGAUUAUAUCGAUGGAUGAAUUGGGAUAGAUGUUUGGGGUUUAUGUUUUUACAACGAAAUCCAUGGUUGUUUGUUCUUGUGUUUUUGAUUGGAAUCGAAUGCAGAAAAGAAAGAGCUAUGGAUGUGUUUUGGUGAUUCAAUCAUAGUUUUUUUAAGGAAGGAACAGGUUUCCUUUGAGUUUGAGUGUUAAUCUUGCUUGGGUGUUCAGUAGAUAGGAAGGACAAAUUGAAAAAUUUCCUAAUGUCGAGAAUCGAAUGUUGUGCAAGACUAUCGCUUUGCGUGGGUGAUAAGCCUUCUUAUGAACAUACCAACGACUGCAUUAGUGGAAUCAAUUGUCAGAUACUUCUUUUUCCCUCUUCUCAUUUGCAUUGUUCGGUUCCUAGAAAUACAUAUUGAAAUAGAUGGAUUUGAUUUUUUAUUUUAAUCUGUUCAAUUUGAAAAUUUUGCAGGCUUUGAGAAAACGAGGCUUAUGAGAAGUUGAUGCUUGAAGAAAGGACCACAAAAUUUGGAACUGAUUCUUAGCAACAUUAUUCUUUUAGAAUGUAUUAGUGUCUUUGUUAGAUUUUGAUGUUUUUUCCUGAUUUGAAAGUGUUUUUAGUUUUAUUCUUUAACAAUAAAUGUAAUUCUUAGCAAUUGUUACACGUAUUCUAUAAGUAUUAAUGUAAAUUUUGUUUUUAUUCAUUAA